RNAcentral lists this transfer RNA (68 nucleotides) under Heteronotia planiceps (Bynoe's prickly gecko). RNAcentral's name for it is "tRNA-Trp". Lineage: Eukaryota; Metazoa; Chordata; Lepidosauria; Squamata; Gekkonidae. The record is from RNAcentral.
AGAAGUUUAGGUAACACUUUUAAACCAGGGGCCUUCAAAGCCCCAAAUAGAACAAACUCUAACUUCUG